Molecule: transfer RNA, 75 nt
Filed under: compost metagenome
Description: tRNA-Met
Source: RNAcentral
UGGUCGAUCAUGAGGAUCCCAUAUAGCGGACUCAUAAUCCGUUGGUCGAUGGUUCAAGCCCAUCACGGCCUACCA